AUGGCCUUAGCAUGUAAGAUCAGUGUGUGGCUCCUCUUGGUAAAGUAGAGAAUGAACACGCACAUGUGUGAGCACACACACACACACGCACACACACAGUCCAUCAAAACGGGGAGAAGUUACUUCUCAAUGUUGUAAAUUUAAAUGAAGUCCGGAGUAGUGAAGGCCAUUUGUAAGGUCUGCUGAGCUAAUGGAUUCAUAAUGACUUUUCAAGCUUCGCUCGGGUAAGAAAUACUGUUCAUUUUUUAAUUGCAUAUAAUUAUACUUUUUCAUAAUCUAGGGCAGCAUAGCAAAAGUAAAUCUACUGGCUUAAUUAUAAAUCUUUUUAUUAUCUGGAACCCUGCUGAAAUAAAAGGAAAGAAACAACUAUUGUGUUUUUUUUUUAAUCUAGUAAAAAGGAUUAAAAAAAAAAAAAACCUCAAUGUUAAAUGAGUUACGAUGUUUUUGAUGGGAGAACACUGGUUUGUUUCACGUUUGAUAUUCUUUUGGUGGGGGCGUGGGGGGAAGGCUGUUUGUAGAAGUGCCCGGACAUUCUGACCUGCCUGUGGUCCAAACUGUCUCCUGUCCUAAGGGAGUGAGCAUUUGCUGGUCUGUUCAAUAAUCUGAGAGAGUCCUUUUUUUAUCCCUAGAGGUGGAGUCUGGGAAGAGCUUCAAGCUUGAAGGUGCAGCAGGUUAGGGGGGGAAGGGGUUGCAUUCUGGGAAGAGGUGAGAAGUCUGAGGAGCUGAAGCUCCCAGGAUCAUACUCGGAUUAUUCUUUCCACUGGGUUUCUCCUCCUGAUCUUCCCGAGACUCUCCUGUGACUCUGUGGCUCGCUCAGAAUGACCCUGGGGAGAAAGAUGCACUUCUGAAGGACACGGGAUGAUAACCUGGCCAGGAAGAUGCGUUGCUUUCAUGGAGAUGAGAUUGGCCGUACCCUUCGUUCCUUGUAGAGUAGAAAUGCUGGACCAAUCACGUGUAAGGGAGCAGCACCAUUCCGGAGGCAUGAGCAGGUUCGGGCCGACGUAACUGUGUCUGAGGCAAGGAGAGCAGGCUUACGAAAACACGGGCAGUUCUCCAUAUUCAACUCUCCACUGUCACCCCACAAGUCAGAGAGGGUCGGAGGCACCUGCUUCCAGGUGGGCAGCAGAGGGCCUGUUAGCGCUGGAGCCUGGGGGAGGCGGGGAGCCCCUGGGCGGCACCAGCCGAGCCCUCGCCGAACCGUCCUGAAGACCUGGCUUCUCCCUGACCCAGAAUUCCACGAUCCCUUGAAAAGGCAUCAAUGCUGGAUGCCCCUUGUUGUUGUUGUUGGUUUUUUUUUUUUUUCCCAACGUUUAUUUAUUUUUGGGACAGAGAGAGACAGAGCAUGAACGGGGGAGGGGCAGAGAGAGGGAGACACAGAAUCGGAAACAGGCUCCAGGCUCUGAGCCAUCAGCCCAGAGCCCGACGCGGGGCUCGAACUCCCGUACCGCGAGAUCGUGACCUGGCUGAAGUCGGACGCGACGCUUAACCGACUGCGCCACCCAGGCGCCCCAUGGAUGCCCCUUGUUUAAGCGAAUCAGGUACUCAGUCAUUGCUGGGGAGGCAGGGAACCCAGAGAGAAAAACUAAUUAAGCUCUUAAAGGCUCGGUAGCCCAUAUGGGCCUGAUGGACAUGGAUGGGGUUGCAGCCCCGUCUCAGAAGAGGGGGACAUUAUCCUGAGAGGCGACGGCGGUUCGCAGUGAACAUCUCUAAAAUCCCUCUGCGUUACUUUUUGCCACUCUGGCCCCAAUUCCGACCCCACGCACACGCCCCCGUGGCACCUCAAGUGUGGGACACGCUAUACAUUCUGUGCUUCAAAUGGCAACCGCCUCUGGUGGCGCGUGCAACCUGUGCCUGGCGCUGGCUGAGAGCCGCUUCUCUCCCUGCAGCCCCUGCUCCGGCAGCCACGUCUUCACCCCCGACGUAGGGGUUCCCUUCUCCUGGUACUUACUCUGGGCUCCAGAUUGCUGUUGUCAGGCCGGUGCUGCCAAAAAGUGGCCCCGAAUUUGAACCCCUCUCUCCAGAAAGAAGCAGAAUCUCACAUCUCCCGUGGAGAACUCCCUUUCAUGCCCUCUGGUGCCUGCAAUCAGGGAGGGGUUCCUGGAAGAGGUGAACUUGACAGUACAAGAGUGGUCGUGAACAGUCAAAGGACAGUCGUGUCCAGAAAGUUGCUUUAGUAACGCAUUAAAGUAAGAACCCCCCCUCCCCGCAAGGGUGAUGAGUUUGGCUAGCCAACCUGAAUCUCACUGGGGAUCAUGCAGACCCAUUUCCUAAGUAUAUGAUGCUUUCCAUCAGCCGGUCACUGAAUCCCGGGGAGUAUGCUUUACUCCUCUGGACUCUCCUCAGAGCAGAUAAGAUACAUGCCAGUUUAGACUCCUGGCACCACCACUUAAGAGCUAUGUGGACUUUGACUUCAUCUUUCUUAAUCUCUAUAUGCUCAUCCAUAAAAUGGGUAUAAUACUAGUGGGCCUGCGGAGUCCUAAGAAUUAGAGAAAAGUCAAGGACCUAGUGAAGUCAGAGGCCUGCUACCUACUCAGUGCUCAACGGGUGUUUUUUGUUUUUUUGGUUUUUUUUUUUUUUGCUGUCUCUGUUGUGGCUAUUAUAUUCCUAGAUUCAGAAAGCUGGGUACACGUUCCUGUUUUUCUCGUUGCUGGCAGCUUGGCCUCGGUUGAGUUGCAUAGUUUUUCAAAGCUUUAGCUCGGGUGUCUGUGAAGUGCAGCUAAUGACUUCUGCCUUAACCAGGUAGCAAGAGGUUUCGCAACAACCAGGAAAGCAAAAGCCUAGCACAGUGAUUUAAACAAGCAGGAAGUAACACCCCCUCACUUACCGAGCCUUCCAGGAUAUGCUGUCGCAGUUGGUUUGGCAGCUUGACCGUGUCAGGACGAGCAUCUUUGGGGCUCUCUGGGCCCUUUUGUACCAGCUUUUCCCUUCGUGGUCCUUAGCUUUUCUAAUUCUUAGAAAUGCCUUGCUCUAGGCACAGAGAAGGGGGAAGAGGAAGGGACAGAAGAUCAGCCUCUCUGUGUCAGAAAGAGGAAAAGCUUUCCCAGAGCCCACCCGGUAAAAGUACACUCACAUCUCCUUGACUGCGACUGGAUGAGGGUCAGGCCAGUCAGCCAGUGGGGUUCGUCCCACAUCCACCGAUGGGGCUGCUGUGAGAACAGACAGGCGAGUGUAUGUUAAAGCAUUUUGUAAGAGCGUCACAAAAGUAAGUUACUAUCCUUACUCUAGCUCUUGUACAAAGGAGAGGCCGGUCAACUGGGUAAGUGAUAACUCUAUCGUUCAGGCCUUUUACCCCCACCGAGAUGAAUGGAAGACAUUCUGGAGGCCAUGGUUGUUUUAGUACAGGCUCCUAGGUCAUAGCCUCUUUCUGACCGAGCUGCGGGUUACCCGUUUCAUUUUGCUAGUGGGAUGAGGCUUGAAUUGGGUUUGGUGACUUCAAUUGUCUCUGCUUGAUGUAAGUGGAAGGCUAUGUUUCUAGGUAAAUAUGGUGAAUUUCUAGUGCCCAGCAGGAGGUAUUCCUGAAAGGCUCAUUCACCAGUAAUGGGGUGAUGUUACAUUAAUCAUAGGUAGUCUUCUUAAUGUGUGCCCUCCCAUUCUUGUACCCUCAUGACAUCCUUAAUAAGCAUCUGCUAUCUUUAACAGCUUUAUUGAGGCAUGAUUUACAUACCAUAAAAUUCGCUAAGUAUACAAUCGAAUGAUUUUUAGUAAAUUGACACAGUUGUGCAACCGUUACUACGAUCCAGUUUUAGAACAGUUCAGUCUCCCCUGAACAAUCCUUCCUGCCCGUUUCCAGGCAAUCUCUACAACCCCACCCGCUCUCACCAGUGCUCCAGGCAAUUACUAAGCUACUUUCUGUCUCUAGAUUGCCUUUUCUGGACAUUUCGCACCAACAGGAUUGUACAAUAUGUAGCCUUCUGUGUCUGGCUUCUUUCACUUAGCAUGUUGUUGAAGUUCACCCACAUCGUAGCUAUCAGUCGUUGGUCCAUUUUUGUACGGAUGAAUAGUCGAUGAUGAACAUUUUAGUUCCUUCCACUUUUUGCUCCUUAUGACUUUUUGCUCCUUAUGAAGAUGCUGCUGUGAACAUUCAUAUGUAUGUCUUUUGUGGACACAUAUUUUCCUUUCUCGUGGCUAGAGAUCUAGGAAAUGAGUUGCUGUGUCAUAUAACUUUAUGUUUAACAUUUUAAGAACCUGUCCAACUAUUGUCCACCUUUUACCAGAUUGUUACAUUUGUUACUGUCGAUGAACCUACACGGACACCUCAUCACCCAAAGUCCAUAGUCUACGUUACAGGGUUCGCUCCUGGUGUUAUACACUCUGCGGGUCUUGACAGAUGUAUGAUGGCAUGGAUCCACCAUGACAGUAUUGUAGAGUAGUUUCACUGCUCUAAAAACCCUCUAUGCUCUACCUGUUGAUCUGCCCUUCCCCUCAGUCCCUGGCAACCACUGAUCUUUUUACCAUCUCCAUAGUUUUGCCUUUUCCAAAAUGUCAUGUGGUCAUUCACAAAGUCUGUAGCCUUUUCAGGUUGUUGUUGUGUUUUCACUUCGUAAUAUGCAUUUUAAGUGUCCUCCAGAUCUUUUCGUGGCCUUCACCAGCUUAUUUCUUUUUAGCCCCGAAUACUAUUCCAUUGUAUGGAUGUACAUGUAUGUAUCCAUUUACCCGUUCCUACUGAAGGACAUCUUGGUUGCUUCCACGUAUUGCCAGUUAUAAAUAAUUAGUUGCCAUAUGUGCAAGUUGUGGUGUGGACAUAAGUUUUCAACCCAUUUAGGUAAAUAUCAGUAUGCUUAUUGGAUCAUAAGUGUACGUUUAGUUUUAUAAGACACUGCCAACCAGUCUUCCAAAAUGGUUGGGCCAUUUUGCAUUCCCAGCAGCAAUGAGUGAGAGUUCUCUUGCUCCACGUCCUCACCAGCUCUUGCUGCUGUGUGUGUUUUGGAUUUUGACUAUUCGAAUAGGUGUGUAGUGUCGUCUUUUGGUUCUUUUUAUUUGCAGUUCUGCAGUGGCACAUGAGGUGGACCAUCAUCUCAAAUGCUUAUUCACCACGUGUAUAUCUUCUUAGGUGAGGUGCCUGUUCAGGUCUUUUGCCCAUGUUUUAACCAGGCUGUUCGUUUUCUUAUUGCUGAGUUUCAAAAGUUCUUUGUAUGUUUUGGAUAACAGUCCUCUCUGUCAACUAUGUCUUUUGCAAAUAUCUUCCCUUCGUCUGUGACUUGUCUUCUCAUUCUCUUUCUGCCCAUUUUUCAGUUGGGUUGUUUGCUUUCUUAUCAUUGAUUUUUUGAAAAGAGUUGUUUCUGUGUUCUGGAUACAAGUUAUUUUAUCAAAAGUAUAUGAUUUUCAAAGCGUUCUCCCACUGUGUGGCUUAUCUUUUCAUUUGCGUAAUGGUGUCUUUUGAAGUGCAAACGUUUUUAAUUUUGAUGAAAUCCAAAUUCUUAAUGCAUUCCUUUAUGGAUCAUGCUUUUGUUGUUUAUCAGGAAACUCUGCCUAACCCAAGGUCACAAUGGUUUUCUACUGUGUCUUCUUGUAAAAGUUUUAUAGUUUUAACUGUAACAGUUAGGUCCAUAUCAAUUUGGGGUAAAUUAUUGUGGUGUGAGGCAAAGGUCUAAAUUCACACUUUUGCAUGUGACUAUCCAACUGUUUCAGUACCAUUUGUUGAAAAAACUAUUCUUCUGCCACAGAAUUGCCUUGACAUCUUUUAAAAAAUAGCAAUUGACCAUAAAUGUAAGGGUUUACUUCUGGACUCUCAAUUCUGUUCCAUUGAUUUAAAUGUCUAUCCUUAUGUCAAAGCCACACUGUGUGGGUUACUGUAGCAUGUUUCAAAAUCAGGAAAUGUAAAAUCCAUAGUACUCCAACUUUCUUCUUUUUCAAAAUUGUUUUCGCUCUUCUUCAUUUCUUGCAUUUCUCUAUAAAUCUUGAGAUUGGGGUGUCAAGUUUCUGAAAAAAAAACCUGCUGAGAUUUUUAUAGGGAUUGUGUUUCUAAUUAGAAUAAUUUGGGAAGAAUUACCAUUUAAUAUAUUAAACGCUUAUUAUUUAUUUUGAGACAGACAGAGAGAGAGAGAGAGGGAGAGGAAGAGGCAGAGAGAGAGGGAGAGAGAAUUCCAAGCAGUCUCCACACUGUCAGCACCGAGCCAGAGUUGGGACUUGAUCUCGGGAACUGUGAGAUCAUGACCUGAGCCGAAGUCAAGAGUCAGAUGCUUAACCAUUGAGCCACCCAGGUGCCCCGCCAUUUAAUAUUUUCAAAUCUCCUGUCCGCGACCGUGGAAUGGCUCUUCAUUUAUCUACAACUUCUUUAAUUUCUCUCAAUGAUGUUUUUUAGUUGGCAGCAUAUGAAUUUUUCACUUCUUUGGUUAGAUUUAUUCCUAAGUGAUUUAUUGUUUUUGAUACUAUUGAAAAUGGGAUUGUUCUCUUAAUUUUUUUUAAUUUGGAUUAUUGCCAGUAUAUAAAAAGAAAAUUAAUUUCUGUAUAUUGAUCUCCUAUUCUGCGACCUCGUUGAAAUCAUUUAUUAGUUCUAGUAAUUUUUUCGUAGAUCCCUUAGGAUUUCUUUACAUAUAGGGUCACCUACAAAUAAAAGUAGUUUUUCUUCCGUCUUCCUUCCGAUCUGAUUGCCAAGUAUCUGUUCCUCGAUUUGAAGUUUCAUAAAACACUCAAGAAGAGUACAGAGGAGGUCUCCAGGGAAGAUCAUGUGAUGAGCAGGGUGGGAGGCGGGACCUGACCGUUGGAGCUCUGCGGCAGAGGGGAUGGGGAGUUUCUCAUUAAGCUGUGGUGACUUUAGGCUCCCUUCUUCAUUUCCCAAGGUGCUAGCAUGAAGGAACCGCCAGAGAAAGGCAUGCCAGGGUUUGAUGGUAGAAAGUUCGAUGGAGAGACAGAAGAUGUAUUAUUGUUGAGGCCCUUUCCGUGACAAUUACUCUACUCCAGUAUGGGUUUUUUUGUUUUUUUGUACUUUGUUCCAUGAAGACAUGGUUUGUUCCUCUCCCAUUAAUGUGGAUGUCCUCUUCUGCUAAGCAACGACUGGCCGGUACCCCACCCCUUCCAAAUGGACAUGGGGAACUAAUGACACAGUGGAGGCCAGUGAACAGUCAAGAAGGCCUUGUGUACGUGAGCGUAUCGACUUCCACGACAGUGGUUCCAGACUCGAACGGCCACGCUUCCUCCUCUCCAGUGAAGUGCCUUUUAAAUAAUCCCUCAUUAUUUCACAUGCAAUGGCUAUUAUGGCUAUGUGAGCUGUUAUCUAUUUAUGUUGACUAUUAAUAAAUUAUUAGACCAUAUUGUGUGGGUUUUAAUAACUCCAUAGGAAGAGAAGCGUGGCCAGGAGGUGAAAUCUCAAGCAAUUACAAAUUCAUAGGUUGAGUUAAUUUUUUUUUCUAACACACAGAAGCUGUUCACUUACAAGUAAAUUAAAUACAUAGGCCCGUUGCCCUUACUUAGAAUUCUCGUCGUGCAGAGAGAAGAAACUCACAGCAGAUGCACGGCUCCUGGUGGGAAGUACCUGCGGGGAGUAGGCUGUCGCAGGGACUGCCCAAGGCAAGACCCAGGGCUUGUUAGGUUGCCUGCCUUGAACCUUGUCCUUGUGUGUGGGCCGAAAACCUCCAUCAGGACAUGAAUGUUGAUGGUCGCGGUCAUAUCUGGGUGAGACUAAGGAAGGCUUUUAAAAUGCACUAUUCUAAAUCAGCCUUGAAAUACCGGCCCCCGAACUGGCCCAGUUGACUGCUUCCCAGAUGAGACUCAGGAAGCCACACUGUACCACUUGCACACAUGUCCUUGCUUCUUCUAGACAAACCGGGGAGAGGCUCUUUGAAAGUCAGGAUUAGAGUGUCAGCCCGGGAGAUUCUUGAUGAACUCUGCUCCGAGGGGUCAGACAGAGGCAGAGAAAGCACCGGGCUUCAGCCGCAAAAUGGAAAUGGACCCAAAUCAUUUUCUUGUCAGCCAGGAUUUGAAAAUCAAUACCCAGCCUCCUUGAUACAUUUUUAUUCUUUUUCUUCUUCUCUGGCUGUCUGCUGAGGGUGAUGACAGAUUUCCUUCUCCGGGUAGCUGUGGAAAUGAAAUCCUCCUACCCUCCUGGGGACAAGAGUGCCGUGUCCACACCCAUGCAGGUUUGGAGCACAGCCUCCACAGCAAUCUGGGCGGCAGGUCGCCACGGUUCUGCAAACCACUUCUGCUCCUCUCCUCCUGGCUGUGAGGGGUGGAGUCCGCCUUGCCUCCCUUGUUGCUAACAUCUGCAAACCAGUGACAGUCUUUCCUAUGAUGUCAUGAGGAAGAAUGAAUAUUGGUACAUGGCUGUUGCCAUUCCUUACUCGAGUUAUUCACACGAUGAGUACUGAGUGCCUGGGAGGCUCAGUCGUUAAGCGUCUGACUUCCGCCCAGGUCAUGAUCUCACGGUUCGUGAGUUCGAGUCCUGCUUCGGGUGAGCUCCAGCCUCGCAUCUCUGAGCUCGAGCCCCACUUCAGAUGAUCAUGAGCCCUGCUUUGGGUGAUCCCGCUUCUCUCUUUCCCCAUCUCUCUCUCUCUCUCUGUUUCUGCCCCUCCUGGGAUUCUCUCUCUCUCUGCCCCUUGAUCACUUUUGCUCUCUCUCCUCUCUCUCUCUCUCUCUCUCUCUCGAAAAAAAAAAAACACAAGAUGAGGACUACUCAAGAUCUUUACUCUUCCCGUUGCUGCUAGAGAACAGAUUUGGACAUAACAGGGGUUCAUUCUCUAGGAUACCAUCGUAGGGUGUUUAUAUAGGGGAGUGCUUGAAACAUACAUAUUAUGAGGGUGCCCCAAGUGUAGAGCCCACAGCACCUUGGUCUCCUGGAGUAUGGGGGGGUUCUUAUUUCUAACCCCCCCUCUUGUUCUCGUAGUAACAGUGAAUGCUGCAUAGUAAUCGACACGAAAGGAGGGGAAAAAGGAAAGAGGAGGGUGAGAAAAGAUGGGUAAGAGAUUCCAGUCUGUCCACUCAUUCCCUCAGUCUUGAUUUCGGGACACAUCAUGUGCCAGGCAUCCCUAAUGGGCGCUGGACAUACAGCAGCACCCAAGGCACAGACCCUUCUCUCAAGAAGCUUCUCGACAAGCUGGGGAGGCGGGCAGUAAAUGUAAGCAGACAGACAUAGAUGGUGCGCCUAAGUCCUGUGCUCGGAUAGGCACAGAGGGCUGUGGGAGCUCAAAGGGAGGGUGCCCAGUUUCCCCAAGGUUUCUGAGAGGUGACAUCUACACUUGUCAUGUGUGAGAGUGGGAGAUGGGUAGGGAAAUUGGGCCAAGGGAAGUCCAUGCCUAAGAAAGCUUAGAGAAAAAUGACUGGCCUAGCCUGGCAAUUUCCAGGUGCGCUGUGUGACUGGGAAAGAGCAUGGAGAGGAGAGUGGCAGGCCACAUGGCUGGUGUGUUAACCAGUCUACAGAUCAUGAAGAGCCCGGUGAGAGGCCAUGUGAAGGAUUUGGGACACAUCCCUGAGAGCAGGGAAGGCCGUGGGGGUAACCCAUGCGGGCUACCCUUGGAGAAACUUCGAGGGAGGAAAGGAGAGCCCCUACCACAGGGCUCUGGGGAGCUCAGGAAGCUAAGGAGAGGCUUGCCCUCAACUCUGGAGGAGAACAGGAAGGUCACGGGCACCCAGCAUGGACUUGGAGACAGUUGGGAGUGACCCAGGUCCAAUGCACCGAACACGGGGCUCGACAGACAAGGGUGGGAUCCAAAGAUUACAAAGAAUGGAGGAAAAGAAGGCUUUGGAGAGCACAAUGGGGUUCAUUCAUGAACUUACCAGGUUGCUUCUGUUACCACAGUAACAUGUCAAGGGUUUUUGCGGAUCUGGGAGAAUAAAAAAAUCCCUGCGUUACAGUACUCAAAGCAAAUUAGGUCACUGUUACGAGUUAUUAAUUUUAAUGUAUUAAGAAAAGUGUGCAGGGGGGAGUGAAGUGUUUUUUUUUUUUAAACACAGCAAAUGGGAAGCAGCGAAAAGUACAACAAUAAUUACGCUGAAAGCGAAGUGAAGUGUUCCAUAAAAUGUAAGAAAUGAAGAAAUUACACACCCCUCCUCCCUUCUCCCUCAAGUGUGGUUAGGAGUCGGUGCGGGGGGUGGUGGGUGACUCUCCCACGGCCUUCUGAUGCAAUUAUGAGCUCUCAUUUCACUUCUUUGUGUUAUGUCGCGAGGUGUUACUGAAGCCCGGAUGAAAUCCCGCGUCGGAAAGAAAGCACAGAGGGGCAUUUUUCUGGGCUGGGUUAUGUUUAGCGUGGAAUCGCUCGUAGGCGAAUGUGCAGUCUGAGGAGGGGAAAUUGGAAGCUGUGAAUAGAUUCUCCAGGAACUUUCGUACCCACGGGGACUCCAGGCAGGCCAGGGUUUUUGGUUUCUGGGCCUGUUUGACUCGCCCUGGCAGCCUACCUCCCGGCUGCAGAAAGCUGCAAAACUGGGUCAUGUGCUGCUCCAGCGUGAAGAGGCGGCUUUGGGUGGUUUUGUCCUGUCUCCUUUGACUUCCUGUUGCUGCUGCUGCUGUUGUUGUUUCAUUUGGCUGUUUUCUGUCCGAUUGGUUUUGCUUUGCAGUUUCGGAGGGCAGUCAGAAAUUCCUCCUUCCAGAUGGUGUCGCGUGUGAAAUUGAUCUCCUUUAUCCUAGACACGAAAGGUCUCCCUCCCCCGCUGACCCUGCGUCCCUCUUCCUGAACACACCUGCGUCACCCACGUGCCCACGCCUUUCCCCCCGUCACUCCCCAUCAGGGUGACAUCACUCCCCGUCAGGGUGACAUUCGGGUUUAGGUGCGUUUUAGGCUGGGGCGGAGAAUGGAGGGCUCAGCUCUAGGCUGCGGCUUGCUCCUUGAGACACUUCUCUCCUUUCCUUGCAAGAAAAUCCCGUCUCAUGUGCCUUUUCUCCUCUCUCUGACCACACUGUGCGUCGUCCCUACUCUCUGAUCCCACUCCCUGCCCACAUUCUUUUAAAAAAAUGUUUUUUUAUUAUUUAUUUUGAGAGAGAGAGAGAGAGAGAGACUAUGAGAAGAGGGGCAGAGAGAGAGGGAGAGAGAGAGAAUCCCGAGCAAGUUCAGCAUGUCAGUUCAGAGUCCCACGCGGCAGUCAAAGCCACGAACCAUGAGUUCACGACCUGGGCCAAAACCAAGACUCUAACGCUUAACCGACUGAGCCACCCAGGCGCCUCAUCCUUGCCCACAUUCUUUUUUUUUAAAUGCUUUAUUUUUUUAAGUGUAUUUAUUUAUUUUGAGAGAAAGAGAGAGCGAGACAAUGAGUGGAGGAGAGGCAGAGAGAGAAGGAGAGAGAGGCUCUGAAGUGGGCUCUGUGCCGACAGCAGAAAGCUUGAUGCAGGGCUCGAACCUAUGACCCAUAAGAUCGUGACCUGAGCUGAAGUCGGAUGCUUAACCUACUGAGCCACCCAGGUGCCCCUUUGCCCACAUUCUUAAAAGCCCUGAAAGGAAUCUCUUGUCUGGACUCCAACACCACCUCACCCUGUUCUCUGUUUUCUCCAGACUUCCUUCCUUCUUUCCUUCCUUCCUUCCUUCCUCCCUCCUUCCCUUCCUUCCUCCUUCCCUCCCCCCUUCCCUUCCUUCCUCCCUCCCCCCUUCNNAUUUAUUUAUUUUGAGAGAAAGAGAGAGCGAGAGAAUGAGUGGAGGAGAGGCAGAGAGAGAGGCUCUGAAGUGGGCUCUGUGCCGACAGCAGAAAGCUUGAUGCAGGGCUCGAACCUAUGACCCAUAAGAUCGUGACCUGAGCUGAAGUCGGAUGCUUAACCUACUGAGCCACCCAGGUGCCCCUUUGCCCACAUUCUUAAAAGCCCUGAAAGGAAUCUCUUGUCUGGACUCCAACACCACCUCACCCUGUUCUCUGUUUUCUCCAGACUUCCUUCCUUCUUUCCUUCCUUCCUUCCUUCCCUCCUUCCUUCUGUCUACCAGUCAGAGAUUUUCUCGUGACUCCCACGCCCAUAGUAUGGCCUUAACCUUUAACCUAAGCUCAGAGGAACCAGUGAGGUGCCAACAUCCACAGAGAUCGUAAGCACUACGAAACCAUUUGUUUUAAAAACUAAACUCUUCUCCUAAUUUUAUCCUCCCCAAGCAAACAAAUAAAACAACCUGACUUCUUUUUUAUUUCUUACCAUCACUGAAAAACAACAUGUAUCUCCCUGCCUGUUGCUCGGGUGAGGGGCCUUGAGUUAGCUGAGUUUCACCCCUUCUCUCUGAGCAUGACGAACGCUUCUGAAGAAGCCGUUGAUUGUCCCUCUCCUCCUGCUGCUAUCAGUCCUGGGCUCCAGCCCUCGCCCUCUCCAGCCCAUGUACAGCUCUCUAGAACACAGGAUCAGUCUGCAGGGCCCCCCAUCUCUGGGCCAUUCUCUGCAUGGAUUUCAGAGUUUUUCCAGAACCUGGCCCUGACUGGGACAUUCCCUGCCCGUAGACGGAAGAGCUUCCUUUGUCUCAAGAUGAAGGAGGAAGCAUUUCCAGGCCCAGUGAAAUCUGGCCUCCACCGGUCAACUUCCACACUCUUCAUUUCUCGCUACUCUUCCCCACCCCGUGAUCUAGUCACACGUCUGCUCUUCUCUAAAUGCCCUGUGCAUGCGCGUAUGUCUGAAUCCUUGCUCCCCAUUUCCGUCUGUUGGAAUCCAUCCCGUGUCCUCUCUACCCAGCAAGUUCCCACUCAUCCUCAAUGCCACUGAAGCCACGGCGAAGACCGAGUCUCCCUUCUCUGGACUCUUGCAAAAUACCUGUACUGUAGCGCGUAUCACAACACGCUGUGUGCGUGCACACUUCUGGCUCACCCUCGUUAGAUUGUGGACCCCUUGAGAAGCACUGUCUUUGAACUCUCACCCCAAACAGGAAAACUUCGUCCUUUAUUAUUCUUUGUUUGUAUCUUACUCUUUUCCUCGACUAAAUUCUCCACUUAUAAUGGAAAAGUUGGGCGGGUUCUUCAUAGCCUACUUAAGCCCGUUGAUCCCAAAGAUGGCAAGACAGAAUGAAGUGUGAGACAGAAGGGCUGGAAAUAUGGCUCAGAUGGUGUCCUCUGGGUGACCGUCUUUCUCUAAGGUCACAUGUUCUAAGAAUGGAUACUCUGAGAGCCUGAGAACCCUUGAGAGCUCCAGAUGGAUGACAAAACCAGUUCUCGUGCCUAGCUUUUAUGUGACUCUUGCUGCAAGUUCAGGGGCUCUGGGGAUGGGUAGGGGAGGGGGAGGAAAUCCUUGAAAUUCUGGUUUCUUUUCUCCUCUGUUAUUAAAUGGCUGUAUUAAAAGCCAUGUCCACAUCUUUCUGUAAAGUAGUCCGAAGGCAGAGAGGGCAAAGGAGACCUUGCAUCUUUCAUUUACUAAAAUGAUGCAUUAUUUUUAUCAGAAAGGGAGAGAGAAAAACAUGUAAGCCUGGGAGAAUUUCACAGGAGUCCCGACGGAUCCCAUGCCCAGCGCCGCUGAGUAGGAACACGUAUGGAAUGGUGUGUGGGAUUGGAUAGCACGUAUAAAUAUAUUCGUGUGUACACACACACGAUCAGAAAUCCAGCCGGUAUUUGUUGAAUAACCAGGUGUGCAGCGUGAGUGCGUGCGUGUGUGUGCGUGCGGGCGUGUGCGUGUGUGUGCGUGCAUGUGUGUGCGUGCGGGUGUGUGCAUACGUGCCACAUGCUUUUCCUUUCAGUCAUUUGUGUGACCCCAUCUCAGCUGUCUAGCACAUUCUGGACAGUGGGGAGGGGGGAAUGGACUUUUUUUUUUUUUUUCAGAAGCUAAUUUACCUUGUGAGGGCAAAGCUCCAUUUUAAUUGAUUCUCUCUUUCAAGAUCCAAGUAACCUAUAAUCUCCACUCAAUUGUCAAUAUUUUGCCGGCAUCAUCCCUCAGCCUUUAACAUGCAGAUGGAGUGGGGAAAAAAGCGGCUGUCGUAGCUCAGGAUGAAAAGCAAGAGCGGCUCAGGGUAAUAAUCUGCUUUUGAUUUUUUUCCCUUCCUUUGCCUACACCCUCUCUCAAAUCCACUAAAACGGGGGAAAAUCCAUAGCGAUUAGAAAAACUUCUGACCGAGACAUCUUUCUCCUUUCUCUUUCAUUUUUUUCUCACCCUCUUUAGUAUUCAGAAGCCACCCAAACAUCAGAGGUUUCCACGAUGCUCGGCUGUGCAUGGCAUCCCAAACAGAGUGGGAGAAGACAUUCCCACUGGACAUUUUGAGGUGCCUUUUGGGCCAGUUCCAGGUGGCUUCCAGCACACUCCCAGGUGCGAUUCUAGCAGCAGGUCACUGGGAUAGGGAUGGCAAUGGUCCGGGGCCUUCUGCGGAGGCAAAGAGGACACGUAGGGAUAGCAGUGCAGCAGGGAACAGUCCCUGACUCUACUCACUGGGUCUUUCAGCAGCCCCUCAGAGCCAUGGCUCUUCCCCGGGGAAAAGCCUGGGAGGUGAGACCUUGAGGUUUUAUGGUGACUCCACAAAGAGCUGCAUGGGUCACCUGUGACAGGAAAAAUCUCAGGUUAACAAAGGAGACUCUAUGAUAUCGGGUACGUGCUAGGAAUGCUUAGUGUUAACAUUCAUUCUCACAACCCAUGAGCCAGACAGUCUUCUCCCCAUCUUCCAGAAGAGGAAACUGAACUGUUUGGCUAAAGUGGCCCAACCAGCAGGUGGCCAAUCCAGGUUUCAAACCCAGCUGUACCUGCUCCUGCCCUUCGUUACCAGCAGGGCAUCGUGGGCCUCCACUGUCCUAUUAAUCAGCAUCUCCGCUCCUGGGGAGGUGGGCCGGGGCCUGAUGUGACAUGUGGACGAGGAGUCUAAGGCCUGGGGACAUGGAAGAAGGGGAGGGUCACGCAGGGCUGGUCGCCAGGGGAAGACGGCCAGAGCAUCUCGGUGUGAUGACCGUCCUGCAUAAGACAGUUUGGAUUCUGGACGUGGAGGUGCCAAGUCCGGGUGUGUCUGUUUUCUGUUGGCCUCAACCUGGCCGACAGCCCUGUUCUCUGAUCGCUGCAGACCCAAUGAGGAAGGCAGGUGCUGGGAGCACACAGUGGCAGAAGGGGGAAGGAGAAGACAGGUACUUGCACUCACAGGGCCUUGGCCAGGGGGCAGUGGAAGAGACGUGAGGGAAGGAGAUGCUUUGAAGGCUCUUAACUUGGCCAAGUCCCCAGUGGCGACUCUGGGAUAUUGGCCGUCCUGAGCCCUGUGGAGAACGAAGCCAGGGGACCGGUGGUCAUUGACAGCAGGGAGACUUAAUACCAGGGAGGAGAGGGCAGACUGGGCAAGCUCCCAGUCACUGACAUCUGCUCUCCAGAUCAACCCUUGUGCUGAGCUCACUCCAGUCCGAUGGCCUCUUCCAUUUAAUCCAUAAAUCCCCCUGUUGCCUCACGUGGCCUCUAUGACUCCAUGCCUCUGUCGUGGGGUAGCCACGGAACUUUUCUGCUGUCCUCUCCAUCCCUUUUACACUCCCAGGCUCCCAUCACUGACUUGCGUGCUGGAGAAAAGCCGAUGCUUGCUGCUGCCUGGAAGCCUCAUUGUGACCGUGUGGCCCCCACGCACCUGUCAGGACACAGGCGCACGUGCAGUAGAUCCCACAGCAUUGACAGCCUGAGGAAAGGGCAGGGGAACCUUCCAGUUACCAGUAGAUUGUAAUGGUGUGUGGCAGGGGGAGGGGUGGCAGGGGUGCAUCUCUGAAAGGGCUGGCAUGAUCCUGUCAACCUUCUCCCUUUUCCUUGUGGAAGGAGGGAGCGUGGAAAAGCACACAGCAGUCUCCAGGAGAGCCCCUCUCAAGACCCUGUGCACCCCCUUUUGCUUUUCCCUGAAGCACAGCCCCGAGGGAUUUCCUUUUAUUCUUUUCCUGCCUCUCUUACCACACUAAACACACACACACACACACACACACACACACACACACGGCCACAAUGAAUGUCUGUGCUGUUGCAAAGUGAAAUGUGUUAACAACAGCCUCCAUUCUCAAGAUCCAGAGAAACAAACCAGGAGGGGUGGAGAAAUGAGGGGAGUGUGUUAGUGAGACAGGGGUGAGCACACAGCCGGCUUCCAGUCACCGCCAUCAAGCCAUGGCAGGGGUGAGGGGGGGCAUCAGGGCGGCCACAUUUGCUUAGAGAGACAGGGACUUUAAUGGAGCAAAGAGUCUGUGUUUUUCUCUUUUUUUUUUUAACGUUUAUUUCUUUUUGAAGGAGAGAGAGAGAGCGUGAGUGGGUGAGGAGCAGAGACGGAGGGAGACACAGAAUCCCAAGCAGGCUCCAGGCUCUGAGCUGUCAGCACAGAGCCGGACACAGGGCUCGAACCCACGAACCUUGAGAUCUGACCUAAGCCAAAGUCGGACCUUCACCGACUGAGCCACCCAGAUGCCCCGAGUCUGUUUUUUCCUUUAACCCUUCUUCCAGAUCCCCCAGAUGACCCUGCCUUUCAGUAAAUGCUCCUCUGGGCCAGUUUCAGGGAGGAAGUAAACAGAAGCUGAAAAGUAGCCUGUGGGUUGAGUAUGUGAGGCCAAUGAGCAAAUGAGCAAAUACAAUAAUGACAUAACAUUAGUGGGCAUUAGACUUCCUGUGUGUCUGGAAAUCCUCUUAUGUUAGAUCCCAAUCAUUUUGUUCAUUGAACAAAUAUUUUUGGAGCACUUGGUAAGCAUCUGGCACCACGUUAGGUGCUGGGAGGGAGCUCUCUGAAGGAUGUAAUCAGGAGAGUUAGAAGGCCUGAUGUGUGUUUUGAAAGGUCAGUCUCUCUACAGUGAUGAGGAUAGAUGAGCCAGAAGAGGAAAUGAAGGCAGGAAAUCAGUUGGGCGGAUUCAUCCAGGUGAGAGAUGGUGCUGGCCUGAGCUAAGAAAGUGGGGAAGGAACAGAGGGGUAGAGUCAGGACAUUUCUGAUCCACCAGCCACAAAAUCCUUGUUUAUUAUUUACUCUCCGUAAGGCACAAGUGUUGGGAAUGCAGUGAUACAAAUAUUUAUGAGUAAGAUACAAAGAAUGCAGGGAUCGCCCGUAAGGAAAAGAAGAUGCCAUAGACGACUGGCACUCUAGUUUCUGGGUGGACCGAAGAGCCAUUCACGGUGAUGGAGAUCAUGAGGAGGAGAAGAUUUGGGGGCAAAACCCUGAGUUCCAUUUUUGACGUGUUGAGCCAGAGUUGCUUACGGGAUCUCCAAUUAGAGAUGUCCAGGAAAAAGUGUGGCUGUAGGGGGCUGGGGCUUCAGAAAAGAAUGAGCUUUGGGGUUAUGGAAAGAACCUCGGCAGAAUCCUCAGUGAAUGCCAACAUUUAAGAAAAGGGUUAAAAGAAAAAAUAAGAGUCCAUGAGUGGACUGGGAAGAAACAUCCAGAAAAGUAACAGGAAAACCGGGAGAGCAUGCUGUCAUAGAUGUCAAGGCAGGAUUGGUUCAGUGAGAGAGAAAUGACUCUAGUGACAUUGAGACAACCCGUGGCCAUUGGAAUUCAGAGCCACAAGGUCAGUUAAACCUCAGAGAAAGACGUGUAGGAGGAAGCAUAGACACAGACACUGAGAGGAGAAAAUGGGGAAGUGGCUGCAGAGGAAUACCAGGUGAAGGGACAGUGGUCAGUGCCGCCCUGUUUUUAAGAUGGGAGAUGUUGUCACAUAUGUGAAUCCUGUGGGGAAGAAGGAGAGAGGGUGAAAUGGACAGGGCUCGGUCCUAGAAGUUGGAGGACGGAGAAUCCACACCACAGACGGAAGGAUUAGCCUUUCACUUGUCUCAUAUAACAGGAGGGAAGGUGGGACAUGUGAGUACGGGUGAAGUCAAGAUGAGGAGUUUGGAUAUAAGACAUUGAGAAAAUACUUACCUGGUGACAUCUGCUUUCUCUGGGAAGCAGAGAGAGGUCGUCUGCUGAGAGUGGGAGCCAGGCAAGAAGCAGUAAAGUUUAAGAAGAGUGGAGAAUGUUUGAUUUAGCCUUUGUGGGGAGUGGCAGGGAGAUCUAACCAUAGAAGCACAGAAGUAUUGGGGAGACGGUGUCGGAGGGGGCAUCGAAGGUCGCAGAUCAGACACACAAAUGUGGCCAGUCCGCGUGCUGGGAUGAUUAUCUCUGGCUCCUUGCAGCUUCCCAGGAUUAGGCGCAGGGGAGGGAGAUCGUGAAGUGAUCUGGGGUUGGGGAUUUCUAGGAAGGUAAGCAUUAGGGACGAGCGGUAAAUGCGGUGGAUGAAGCUAUGGACCAUGGAGUCUGAGCUGCAUAGGGAAGAAAGUGAAUGUACGGGGUGGGGUCUGUAGGUUAGGGAGAGAGUAAGGAGGCCAUAGAGGGAGUGAUGACCAAGAACAUCACGGUCUUAAAACUUACUCUGGGAAAUAGCCAAGUGAGACCAGGAAAAUCGGGAAGCUGUGAACAGGAAAUAAAGUGUCUACAUUUAUCCUUCCAGAAGAAAAGGGCCAUGACACUGCCCCACAAGGAAAAAAAAAAAAAAAAAAAUGAAUGCCAAGAGCAUCUCCUCCCAUGAUGACUUCUUUAACUGGAAUCGCAAAUCCAGAUAGCAAAUGGAUUAAUUCCGCAGCGAAGGGAGGAUCCUUGACUUCACAGAGACUUAACUGUACCUUUUGUUUAUCAGUGCAGUGAUUUGACGGUAAUUAUUAUAAUGCUGUGCCUUUAUCUUUGUCUAAUCAAUAGGUCUCUUGGGAUCUAUAGAUACAUGUUAUGGUGAUAAAGAAAGGACAUUUCAUGGAUAGAGGCAGCAGCGGGAGGGCGUACCAGAUUGUGGGAAGGCAAUAAAGCAUGGUAGUUCAAAGCAGGAAUU
This 18579-nucleotide long non-coding RNA is filed under the name Lynx pardinus (Iberian lynx). The record is from RNAcentral. Lineage: Eukaryota; Metazoa; Chordata; Mammalia; Carnivora; Felidae.